Molecule: long non-coding RNA, 1658 nt
Organism: Carassius auratus (goldfish)
Lineage: Eukaryota; Metazoa; Chordata; Actinopteri; Cypriniformes; Cyprinidae
Exons: 3
Source: RefSeq, a predicted model, not a curated record
AGUCCCCCGAGGAGGCGGCAGAUGCCGCUCACGAGUCCCCCGAGGAGGCGGGGGUUACCGUUCACGAGUCCCCCAAGGAGGCGGCGGAUGCCCCUCACGAGUCCCCAGAGGAGGCAGGGGUUGCCGUUCACGAGUCCCCCGAGUAGGCGGCGGGUGCCGCUCACAAGUCCCCCGUGGAGGCGGGGGUUGACACACUCACAAGUCCCCCGAGGAGGCGGGGGUGGCCGUUCACAAGUCCCCCGAGAAGGCGGGGGUUGACGCUCACAAGUAUAUAGUUUUGUCUCACACACCACUCUGCCUGCCUGGAUUAUUGUAUGUUAGUUGUAUUACGUAUGUUUCUAGUGCUUGUGUUAUUUCGGCUUGUUCCCUGUGGUUGUUUCUGUUUUGUUUUUGCCGUGUUGGCCUUUUAGUUCUCGUUUAUAAUAAAGUGUCUAUUCCCUGCACUUGGACCCAGAACUUGCUCUUUCCACGGCGCCGUCUCUACUGCGUUGUGACAGCUACAGCUUUUUUUUUUUGCAUACUUCUGUUGGAAGUAAUUAUAUGGUUUACAGUUGAAAACUUUCUUAUAGAGAAGCAUGUCUGUUACAUCCUCACCGUUUACCCUGUGAUUAUCUAUGCUCUAAUUGGAAGCCUAAGCAAGCAUUACGAUGCAGCAGCACCUGGCCGGAACGCUGUCUUUUCAGUGGUGCUCCUCGUGCUGGCCUGUAUUGUGUUAGUGGUGCGUGUGGGGCUGGUGGUUUGGAGACACAGGACUCGGCCGCUCUACCAUGAAGUCAGUCCUGAGGUCCUGAUGUCACCAAACAGUGGCACCGAUACAUAACCAUACAUCAUAAAAACGCAUCACUCAUAAAAAUGUCAAAGAUGACGUGCCCUGAAUGCUAACCCUUCCAGGUGUGAAGUACCUGCAUUAAUGUGUUUCAGCUGGAACAGAUGCUUUCAGAGUCUUCAGUUUUAUGGAAAAUAUGCAGGAAACAGCAUACAAUAUACAAUAUUAAAUUACUAGUGUGCCUACCAUUUUUUAGUUUAAAUUAUUCUCAGAAAGUGUGCAUUUAUAUAAUCAAAAGAACAGUAAAAAACAGUAAUAUUGUGAAACACUAUUACACUUUCAAAUAACAGCUUUUUAUUUUAACAUAUUUUAUAAUGUGAUUGUGUUUAUAUGCAUAUGUUUACAGUAACUUGUGACCAAAAUAUAAAUAUUAUACUUGACAAUAUUAGCAUUUGCUUUUAUUAACAGAUACUUAACAGUAUCACAAGCAAUAUAUCAUUCAAGAGUAUGACAACAAUACUUGUAAAAUGAUGUCUCAAGUGUAAGUACAUACAAAAAAGUUGGGAUUUUGUUUUCUUGUGUCUGUGAUUUAAGCUUUUAAAGCUCAUUUAUGAAUGGUCAAUAAAAUACAUGAAAUGCAUCUGAUGUCAUUGUUAAAGAUUCGUGAGAAACAGCUCUUAGUUUAGUGCACGUGCUCUGGUAACCACCUUGGUGUUGAUCGUAAGCUUUUGAAACCACUGGUCUUUCAAUAGUGAUUACAGAAAUAUUCAGGGAUGCCACACAACAUUUGUGUCUGCUGAAUAUACAUGCUUUAAUCAUGGCUCUUCUUGUGCAUUUACUUCGGUGUGGAUGUGAACUGAAGCAUCUUGUCAUGCAUGUUGUUGUCCUUUGG